GUGCUCGCUUCGGCAGCGCAUAUACUAAAAUUGGAAUGAUACAGAGAAGAUUAGCAUGGCCCCUGUGCAAGGAUGAUAUGCAAAUCUGUGAAGAGUUACAAAAAAAA
This 107-nucleotide small nuclear RNA is filed under the name Mus spicilegus (steppe mouse). Lineage: Eukaryota; Metazoa; Chordata; Mammalia; Rodentia; Muridae. The record is from RNAcentral.